RNAcentral lists this ribosomal RNA (943 nucleotides) under Pseudomonas putida. RNAcentral describes it as "bacterial SSU rRNA". It matches the Rfam family "Bacterial small subunit ribosomal RNA", at positions 121 to 1059 of the family's 1533-position model. Lineage: Bacteria; Pseudomonadati; Pseudomonadota; Gammaproteobacteria; Pseudomonadales; Pseudomonadaceae. The record is from RNAcentral.
CGAAUCUGCCUGGUAGUGGGGGACGACGUUUCUAAAGGAACGCUAAUACCGCAUACGUCCUACUGGAGAAAGCAGGGGACCUUCGGGCCUUGCGCUAUCAGAUGACCCUAAGUCAGAUUACCUAGUUGGUGAGGUAAUGGCUCACCGAGGCUACUAUCCGUAGCUGGUCUGAGAGGAUGAUCAGUCACACUGAAACUGAAACACGGUCCAGACUCCUACGGGAGGCACCAAUGGGGAAUAUUGGACAAUGGGCGAAAGCCUGAUCCAACCAUGCCACGUGUGUGAACAACGUCUUCGGAUUGUAAAGCACUUUAAGUUGGGACGAAGGGCAGUAAACAAAUACCUUGCUGUUUUGACGUUACCGACAGAAUAAACACCGGCUAACUCUGUGCCAUCACCCGCGGUAAUACACAGGGUGCAAGCGUUAAUCGGAAUUACUGGGCGUAAAGCGCGCGUAGGUGGUUCGUUAAGUUGGAUGUGAAAUCCCCGGGCUCAACCUGGGAACUGCAUCCAAAACUGGCGAGCUAGAGUAGGGCAGAGGGUGGUGGAAUUUCCUGUGUAGCGGUGAAAUGCGUAGAUAUAGGAAGGAACACCAGUGGCGAAGGCGACCACCUGGGCUCAUACUGACACUGAGGUGCGAAAGCGUGGGGAGCAAACAGGAUUAGAUACCCUGGUAGUCCACGCCGUAAACGAUGUCAACUAGCCGUUGGAAUCCUUGAGAUUUUAGUGGCGCAGCUAACGCAUUAAGUUGACCGCCUGGGGAGUACGGCCGCAAGGUUAAAACUCAAAUGAAUUGACGGGGGCCCGCACAAGCGGUCGAGCAUGUGGUUUAAUUAGAAGCAACGAGAAGAACCUUACCAGGCCUUGACAUCCAAUGAACUUUCCAGAGAUGGAUUGGUCCCUUCGGGAACAUUGAGACAGGUGGUGCAUGGUUGUCGUCAGC